Molecule: ribosomal RNA, 207 nt
Filed under: uncultured bacterium
Lineage: Bacteria
Description: partial 16S ribosomal RNA
Rfam family: Bacterial small subunit ribosomal RNA
Source: RNAcentral
UCCGUAGGCGGUGCGGCAAGUCGGAAGUGAAAUCUCCGGGCUUAACCCGGAGGCUGCUCCCGAAACUGCCGUGCUAGAGGAUGAGAGAGGCAAGUGGAAUUGCGGGUGUAGCGGUGAAAUGCGUAGAUAUCCGCAGGAACAUCCGAGGCGAAAGCGGCUUGCUGGAUCAUUUCUGACGCUGAGGGACGAAAGCUAGGGGAGCAAACA